AAGAUUGUGUUCAGGGGCCUCAGAGAUGGUGUUCUGAGCUCAGAGCAGCUCAAGGCCACCCUUUCCCAAGGGCAGUACCAGAGAACACUUCAGAGCUUCAAAAUACGAUGACAAAAUGGCAAAAGUGUCCCGGUGGCUACUCAGGAAUGCUGCUCAUCAGCUCCCUGGCCCCCAUGAGAAUAGAUCAGCAUUUUCCUUGUGUUUUUUCUUCAUCUUCCCCAUGUGUUUGGACGAGCCCCCAGUGUCUCUCAGGAAGGCUACUUGAAUUAUGGAGGCCCAGCCUUUCUGUGCGAACUGUAAGAAAAUAACGGAACAGAUUUGAGGUAUUUCAUGGAGUGUUUAUAAGACCUUAGCUCCCCCGGGGAGCCAGUGAGAGUUUUGUGGGAGAGGAGCCUUCCUUGGGACAUUGGAGCAAGUCACCCCAUUGGCUCACCUGCUAACAGGGUCAGAGAUCAGCAGGGACAGGUGACCAUCAUUCUGUAAACUGCCUGGCAGGAAUGAGGACGGUCUAAAAACACACAUGUCUCUCCGUUUGGCCAUCAAACUACUGAAAUAAUGACCACCAAGAGGUUGAAAUUUCCUGGAGAGUCUCGUGUUGGUAGAAGGAGAGAUUGGAGCUUGGACAAGGAUGAUGAGUGGGACCAUUCCCUGGCCAGGACUGCUUAGGACCCUGGUCCUUUAUAUCAAUCUAAACCUCAUGACGGAACCCCUGAGAUGGACCUGGAGGUCACAGUAUUGCUUUGUUCUUCCCACCUUGAGAAAUAUUCUCUUUCUUCGUUUCUCCAUUAGCUGUGACUUUAAGUGGAAUAUUGAUGAUCCAGCACCCAACCCCCUUUGUUUAGGAGCAGACUCUGACCCUAGCUCCAGUAAGUACUUUGCGGCUACGAAAACUAAGACUCUCCUCACAGGUCUCAGCAAGGUGUGAGGUCUGAAAGAUGAAUCUAACCUUAUCUCGGGUUCAGUCAGACUCUGGAAUGAAGAAUGAGUUUUACAUUCUGAGCACUGAAAACUAAAUCAGAGGAAGUUAUUACUGGGUGGCAUUUGAGAGAGGUAUGAAGUUGAAAUGUCAUCGUCCAUAAAUAAAGCUUUAUUAGAACCAAA
This is a non-coding RNA of Rattus norvegicus (Norway rat), 1101 nucleotides long. The record is from RefSeq and is a predicted model, not a curated record. Lineage: Eukaryota; Metazoa; Chordata; Mammalia; Rodentia; Muridae.